Non-coding RNA from Echinostoma caproni, 45 nucleotides. Lineage: Eukaryota; Metazoa; Platyhelminthes; Trematoda; Plagiorchiida; Echinostomatidae. The record is from Rfam.
GCACUUCUGAAGAGUCCCAAACACGAUGAAACAGCUGUCCAGUGC